Molecule: long non-coding RNA, 245 nt
Filed under: Elaeis guineensis (African oil palm)
Lineage: Eukaryota; Viridiplantae; Streptophyta; Magnoliopsida; Arecales; Arecaceae
Description: long non-coding RNA (EGUI_LNC035062)
Source: RNAcentral
GAUACAUUGUCGGCCAGUAAUACCCUUGGCGGAGCAACUUGUGGGAUAAGGAUCUAGCCCCCAGAUGGCUUCCGCAGAUUUCUUCGUGCACCUCCCAUAAGGCGUAGUCAGCUUCCGAAGGCCGGAGAUAUUUUAAAAGGGGCAAAGAGUAUGAUCUCUUGUACAACUUGUCCUCAUAAAGGAUGUAUCGGGAGACUUGAUUUCUGAGCUUCCGAGCUUCUUUUGCAUCAUGAGGGAGAAUCCCG